This 73-nucleotide transfer RNA is filed under the name Ictidomys tridecemlineatus (thirteen-lined ground squirrel). RNAcentral's name for it is "Spermophilus tridecemlineatus (thirteen-lined ground squirrel) tRNA". It matches the Rfam family "tRNA". From Rfam's summary of the family: Transfer RNA (tRNA) molecules are approximately 80 nucleotides in length. Lineage: Eukaryota; Metazoa; Chordata; Mammalia; Rodentia; Sciuridae. The record is from Rfam by way of RNAcentral.
GGGGAUAUAGCUCAGUUGGUAGAGUGCUUGCCUCAAAUGCACAAGGCCCUGGGUUCAAUCCCCAGUACCACCA